This is an RNA transcript of Perca flavescens (yellow perch), 3596 nucleotides long. It is a transcript of the gene named TAR DNA binding protein b, with no coding region annotated. Lineage: Eukaryota; Metazoa; Chordata; Actinopteri; Perciformes; Percidae. The record is from RefSeq and is a predicted model, not a curated record. The transcript is spliced from 6 exons.
ACUUCCUUUUUCGCUUAGAUAAAGCCAUUUUGGUAGGCCGUACAUGGUGGUUUCACAUUUCGCCUCGUGGAAAGAAAAUCCCCUUACUCUGCGUUUGAGACGAGACGAGCCUUUUGUUCCGUUUGGAUAACGUUAUCAGGCUCAUUCAAGCCAUUUGGAAAAAAAAUCUUGUUGGAUUAGCUACGUUAGUUAACGUUACGCAGUUUUAAUUAGCGCGGCACAGUUGAUCGGUCGUCGUUCAGUUUUGACGACACAGAUCCCCGUCUCGAACAAAGGAACAGAAGGCCGAGGCACGCUUGUUGGCGCGAUCAGAGCGAGGUAUUAUCUAUGAAAUAAUUUAAGAUUAAACCCACCCCAACGACUGUUAGUGUUUAUAGUAUUUCAACCUGAGACGUCUUUUUUUUUCUUAACUAUCACUUUAGCCUGACUCAUUGCUAUUGUGGUCAACUAGCGAGCUAACCGUUAGCUUUAGCAUUGUUUUGAUAUAGCUAAGCAAGAAGUUUUUAUAUUUGGGGCAAAAUGGCUGAAGUAUACAUUCGAGUAGCCGAGGAGGAAAAUGAAGAACCCAUGGAGAUACCUUCCGAGGACGACGGCACUGUUCUGCUUUCAACGGUGGCAGCUCAGUUUCCAGGAGCGUGUGGCCUACGCUUUAGGAGCCCCAUUUCUCAGUGCAUGCGAGGAGUGCGUCUUGUGGAAGGGAUUCUACACGCGCCAGAAAACGGAUGGGGAAAUGUCGUGUAUGUGGUGAACUAUCCAAAAGACAACAAAAGAAAAAUGGAGGAAAUUGACGCCUCCUCGGCAGUGAAAAUGAAGAGAGGGGACAUGAAGACAUCUGAUCUGAUCGUACUGGGUCUUCCUUGGAAAACAUCUGAGCAGGACCUGAAAGAUUACUUCAGCACAUUUGGAGAAGUCAUCAUGGUUCAGGUAAAACGAGACACCAAGACUGGAAACUCCAAAGGAUUUGGCUUUGUGAGGUUCACUGAGUAUGAGGCUCAAGAAAAGGUGGUCUCCCAGCGUCAUAUGAUUGACGGGAGAUGGUGUGACUGCAAGCUUCCUAACUCAAAGUUCCCUUUUUGGUUACAGCAAGGUCCAGACGAGCCAAUGAGGAGCCGGAAAGUGUUUGUUGGCCGUUGCACAGAAGACAUGACCACUGAGGACUUACGGCAGUUCUUUAUGCAGUAUGGAGAAGUUACAGAUGUCUUCAUCCCUAAGCCAUUCCGUGCUUUUGCCUUUGUUACAUUUGCGGAUGAUCAGGUUGCCCAGUCUCUCUGUGGAGAGGACCUAAUAAUCAAAGGUGUCAGUGUUCACAUCUCUAAUGCUGAGCCCAAACAUGGCAGUAGGCAGUUUGAUCGUACGACACGGUUUGGGAAUGGUUUUGGAGCUCAAGCGUUUGGUAGCAGCCGUAGUGGGUUAGGGAGCAGCACUAACAGUAGUCUGGCUAAUUUUGGUUCCUUUAGUCUGAACCCUGCUAUGAUGGCUGCUGCUCAGGCUGCUCUGCAGAGUAGUUGGGGGAUGAUGGGUAUGCUGGCUAGCCAGCAGCAGACAUCCACCUCAGGCAGUGCUUCCAGUGGAACAAGCUCUAGUAGGGACCAGAGUCAGUCUUUCGGUACAGGCAACAGCAACUACGGCACCAGCUCAGCCAGUCUCGGCUGGGGAACAGGGUCAAACUCCACAACCAGCGGUAGUGGGUUUAGCACAGGUUUUGGGUCCAGUAUGGAGUCAAAGUCAUCUGGGUGGGGUAUGUAAGUUAAGUGUUUGUAUGGUAAGUAUUGUGACAAAGAUGAGUCUUUUUUCCAAAUUUAUUUCUGGUGUUGAUGCGUAUCUGAAAACUUAACACUUUUGUGGAAGAUGUUUUGUACAUUUGGAAAAAAAAUGCUAAAGAUUUAAUUUAGAAAGUGUUGAAGUGAAUUGUUUACCAGGAUGUCUGACUAAAGUGCUAUUUUUGAUGUCUCAUUUGUUAGUAUCCAUUUCAACUGGAUUCUCUAAUGCAUGUAUUGUGAAAUGUGAUAACCAUUUUGAAAAUGCAUGAAUGUUUGUGGUUCACCAUUAUCCGGCUUUGUCAUCGACUUAAACGGCAAUCUUGCAUUGGAAAGAAUCUGGUUGAAACCUAAAUGUUUUUAGUGCAACUUAAUUUGCAGUAAAGUACUGUGGAAAAGCCUUCAUUGAAAUCUCUUCUGCAGUUCACCUCUCUUCCAUUUUCCUGUGAGGAAGCUCCUCUUUGGCAGCAUUCUUGGGGUGAUAUCGGUAUCAUUCUCCCUCUUCCCACCUGUAAAUGCUAUGCCAUCAAAGAACGGCUUCACUCCGCAUGUUCUAAGAGACGGGACCUUGGGCUCUGCUGGUCGAGGUCUCCGUUUGAACCCUGACUGAAGUCUGUUCUGAAGGACGAAGACGGAAGUUCCAACACUUUCAGUGUGUGGCCUUCUCAGACAUGACAUGGGGUAGUACCUGUCUUUUUGCUGCUUUUGAUGGCUUGUCUGAGUGAAUGAUCCUUUUUUUUUUUUUUUUGACUAUCCACAGCUACUUUUAAGGUGGGGAGGAGAGUUAUUUUAACCUUAAAUAGGAGUUCAACAAUGUGGCAUCACCUCUCCAAACUAUUGUCUGUCCCUACUCUGGCUUAAGUAAUAAGACAACUAAUGGCAUGUUGCUGAGCUUAGGAAUUUGUGAUUUUUAGAAGGCCCACUUAGUGGCCACUUCGUUGGGUAUACCUGUACAAUCUAUUGAAAAUCAAAAUUGUUUGCCAUACAUUUUACCUUCAGGAAGUACAAAAUGUUAUUUUGUUAAAUGUGUAAAAUUAACUGAGGUCAUAGGUGUUUUAGUGGACUAAAUUAUAUAGAUAUGGGUUAGAAUUAAAACUUGUCCUAUUGACAUGAGGGGGCAAAAUAUUAGAAUCGCCACUGAAUAUACUACAGACCAGUACAACGCCACCACUAACUAUGCAACUGUUGGUUUAUAAAUAAUUAGGCAGGUGUAUUGAAUAGCACUGGAUUAUCCAGGUUUACCUAAUAAAAGUGGCCACUGAGUAUGUUAGUUUGCCUGACAGUCUUAAUAGUACCUUAUGGUUUCCCAAAUUUGAAAAAUACAUUUAGAUCAUUUAGUUUGGAGAAACGUCAGGUAUAUAAUUUAGUAGUUGUAGCCCGUCACUUUAACAGAAAAUAGCCUUUUUUUUUGACUCAGUUCAUACAUAAUCUUUAUUGUAUGUCAAACCAGUGGCAAAUGCACUUAUCACCUGACAUUGCAUCAGCAGGUCCUAGACAACUGAAGUUAUUUUCUCCAAAUCAUAAAACUAAAGUAAUAUAAAAAAAAAUCUCAUGCUGUGGAAUACUUGAAAAGUUGAAAUGCAUCAUUUCCCAUAGCACUUUUUAUUAACUUAUUGUCAUGUAUUAGUCAGCCUUCAUGUUUAUUUUAAUGUUGGGCACAAGUGAGACACUGCAGGCCUGCCUUUGUCUUGUCCUUAUUCUCUGCUCUCCUCCUCAGUGUCUCUGCUCUUCCUCUUCCCAGCAUUCUUCUUUUUCAAAUCCCUCUGCUCCUGGUUCAGUUCUUCACUUUUAUUUUGUAUGUAGAUGGACUGAAAUAAAUAAAGGUAAAUUAAACAUUAA